CUUUGAUUUGUCAAUAUUACGCCCAUGUAGGAAUGAACAUGGGUAAAUAUACUUGAGAAAAUAUUAAAUAUAAACGCUGGUAGGUGCUGACCUAGUUUUUUCUGAAUAGAUCCUUGAAUAUGGAACUGAUACUCCAAAU
Molecule: non-coding RNA, 139 nt
Organism: Caenorhabditis elegans
Lineage: Eukaryota; Metazoa; Nematoda; Chromadorea; Rhabditida; Rhabditidae
Source: Ensembl